Non-coding RNA from Lepisosteus oculatus (spotted gar), 463 nucleotides. The record is from RefSeq and is a predicted model, not a curated record. Lineage: Eukaryota; Metazoa; Chordata; Actinopteri; Semionotiformes; Lepisosteidae.
AAAACAGAAGGCUUCGGCAACCCAGGGCACUGCAGCCCGAUACUCCAGCCAGGACAUGCGUGCGCCCUCGUCUGCAUCCAGACUUGCGUGCAGCUCCGAAACCAGAAGAAAUGUUUAUUGAAUGUACUCCAAUAUGUGAUCUUUUCAAGGGAAGUUUGAAAAACAGCUUUGGCAUAAUAAGCAGCUCCAAUAGACUCCGCAGUUAAAAAGUCUCCCCAGAUGCCGAGAUCUAGUGGAGAUCAUGAGGAGAGAAUCAGGAAAAUAAAGAGAACCAAUAGAAAAAGAAAGCUGCUUUCCAAAUAAACCCAAGCCCUUAGAAUAAAGGCAGUUCACGGAGGCAGAUCAGAAGGACAAGCAGACUGCGGUCAGCGGGACAUGUUUCUGGACGGGAGGCUCGGCGGCGGACGGGAACGCGACUGCAGGUGGGUGGGCAGCAGCCGCGCGCUCGGGGGCCGAGGGGUCG